RNAcentral lists this ribosomal RNA (512 nucleotides) under uncultured bacterium. RNAcentral describes it as "bacterial SSU rRNA". It matches the Rfam family "Bacterial small subunit ribosomal RNA", at positions 15 to 518 of the family's 1533-position model. The record is from RNAcentral.
GAUCCUAGCUUAGGAUGAACGCUAGCUACAGGCUUAACACAUGCAAGUCGAGGGGCAGCAUUGGAGUAGCAAUACUUCAGAUGGCGACCGGCGCACGGGUGAGUAACACGUAUCCAACCUGCCGCUUACUCGGGGAUAGCCUUUCGAAAGAAAGAUUAAUACCCGAUGGUAUAAAGAGUUCGCAUGUUCUCUUUAUUAAAGAAUUUCGGUAAGCGAUGGGGAUGCGUUCCAUUAGAUAGUUGGCGGGGUAACGGCCCACCAAGUCUACGAUGGAUAGGGGUUCUGAGAGGAAGGUCCCCCACAUUGGAACUGAGACACGGUCCAAACUCCUACGGGAGGCAGCAGUGAGGAAUAUUGGUCAAUGGACGAGAGUCUGAACCAGCCAAAGUAGCGUGAAGGAUGACUGCCCUAUGGGUUGUAAACUUCUUUUAUAAGGGAAUAAAGUGAGGGACGUGUCCCUUUUUGUAUGUACCUUAUGAAUAAGGAUCGGCUAACUCCGUGCCAGCCGCCGC